AAUUAAUUUUAUUAAUAAUUUUUUUUUUUUAUUUUAUUUUAUAAAAAUAAUUUAAUUUAUUAAGGUUUUAGUAUUAAUUAAAAAUAAAUUUAAAGAUUUAUACUUCAUUAGUAUUGGGAAAGAAAUAAAUUAAAUAUCAUAAAAAAUAAUAUUAGUAGUACCUUUUGUACCGGGGUGGAUUAAAAUUUUUAAUUUAUUUUUAAGUCCUCAAAAUUUAUAGAGUUAAUUUUAUUAUUAAUUUAUUGUUAAAUAAAUAUUUAAAAAAUAUUAUUAGUUUAGAAAUUAAAUUCGUUAUAUUAUAUUUAGUUAUUUAAGAUUUAAAUUUAAUUUAAAAUUUUAAAAGUUUAUGAUUAAUUUUAAUUAUUUAAAUUUUAAAAUUAAAUUAUUUUAGGGAUAAGCUUAAAAUUUUUAUAUAAUUAAUUUUAAUUAUUAAUAAUUUUAUAGGAUUAGAAAUUUUUAUUUAAGUUUGUAAAAAUUUAUUAUUUUUUUAUAUUUAAAUUUAUUAAAAUUUUAUUUAUUUAUUAUUUUAAAUUUUUAUAAAUAAAUUUUUUAUUUAUAGUAAUAAUGAUUAAAUUAGUAUAUUUGAAAUUUGUAAAUUAUGAAUUCGGCAAUUAUUAUUUUCAUCUGUUUAACAAAAACAUUGUAUUAAGUUUUAUUUAAUAUAGGAAUCUGCCUCAAUGAAAUAUUUAAAUAGCUGGCAGAAUUUUGACUGUGCAAAGGUAGCAUAAUAAUUAGUCUUUUAAUUGAGGACUUGAAUGAAAGAUUUGAUGAGAAAUAAACUUUAUUAUUUACAUAAUUAAAAUUUUAUUUUUAAGUAAAAAAGCUUAAAUAUUUUAAAGGGACGAUAAGACCCUAUAAAACUUUAUAGAUUUAAAUUUUUAAUUUUUUUUGGUUUAAUAAAUAUUUAAAUAAUUAAAUUUAUUUUAUUGGGGUGAUAAAAAAAAAUAAUUAACUUUUUUUAAAUUUUUACAUUAUUUAAUGGGGUUUUGAAUUAAAAUUUUUAAUUAUAAGAAAAAGUUACUUUAGGGAUAACAGCGUAAUUAGUUUUUUAAGUUCAAAUUUGAAAAUUAGUUUGCGACCUCGAUGUUGAAUUAGGAGUAAUAUUAGGUGCAAAAUUUUAAAUAUUGGGUCUGUUCGACCUUUAAUUUCCUACAUGAUUUGAGUUCAAACCGGUGUAAGCCAGGUUGGUUUCUAUCUUUUAAAAAUUAAAUUAUUUUAGUACGAAAGGAUUGAAUAGUUGAAUUAAAUUUUUUAAUUAAUGAAUUAAAUUAAAUUUAC
RNAcentral lists this ribosomal RNA (1278 nucleotides) under Chaitophorus saliniger. RNAcentral's name for it is "16S large subunit ribosomal RNA". The record is from RNAcentral. Lineage: Eukaryota; Metazoa; Arthropoda; Insecta; Hemiptera; Aphididae.